RNAcentral lists this ribosomal RNA (119 nucleotides) under Triticum dicoccoides. Lineage: Eukaryota; Viridiplantae; Streptophyta; Magnoliopsida; Poales; Poaceae. The record is from RNAcentral.
GGAUGCGAUCAUACCAGCACUAAAGCACCGGAUCCCAUCAGAACUCCGAAGUUAAGCGUGCUUAGGCGAGAGUAGUACUAGGAUGGGUGACCUCCUGGGAAGUCCUCGUGUUGCAAUCC